RNAcentral lists this ribosomal RNA (510 nucleotides) under uncultured bacterium. RNAcentral describes it as "partial 16S ribosomal RNA". It matches the Rfam family "Bacterial small subunit ribosomal RNA", at positions 28 to 507 of the family's 1533-position model. The record is from RNAcentral.
GACGAACGCUGGCGGCGUGCUUAACACAUGCAAGUCGAACGAAGAGCGAUGGAAGCUUGCUUCUAUCAAUCUUAGUGGCGCACGGGUGAGUAACGCGUAAUCAACCUGCCCUUCAGAGGGGGACAACAGUUGGAAACGACUGCUAAUACCGCAUACGAUCCAAUCUCGGCAUCGGGACUGGAUGAAAGGUGGCCUCUAUUUAUAAGCUAUCACUGAAGGAGGGGAUUGCGUCUGAUUAGCUAGUUGGAGGGGUAACGGCCCACCAAGGCGAUGAUCAGUAGCCGGUCUGAGAGGAUGAACGGCCACAUUGGGACUGAGACACGGCCCAGACUCCUACGGGAGGCAGCAGUGGGGAAUCUUCCGCAAUGGACGAAAGUCUGACGGAGCAACGCCGCGUGAGUGAUGACGGCCGUCGGGUUGUAAAGCUCUGUUAAUCGGGACGAAUGGUUCUUGUGCGAAUAGUGCGAGGAUUUGACGGUACCGGAAUAGAAAGCCACGGCUAACUACGUG